This 303-nucleotide ribosomal RNA is filed under the name uncultured bacterium. RNAcentral's name for it is "bacterial SSU rRNA". It matches the Rfam family "Bacterial small subunit ribosomal RNA", at positions 150 to 453 of the family's 1533-position model. The record is from RNAcentral.
GAGGAAACUCGGAUUAAUACCGGAUAUUCUUAUUUAAUCACAUGAUUUUUUAAGGAAAGGUCAGCCGAACUAAGAUGGGCUCGCGUUCUAUCAGCUAGUUGGUAGGGUAAUGGCCUACCAAGGCUACGACGGAUAGCUGGUCUGAGAGGACGAUCAGCCACACUGGGACUGAGACACGGCCCAGACUCCUACGGGAGGCUGCAGCAGGGAAUAUUGCGCAAUGAGCGAAAGCUUGACGCAGCGACACCGCGUGUGGGAUGACGGAUCUAGGUUUGUAAACCACUUUCAGGAGGGAAGAAAAUG